Molecule: long non-coding RNA, 357 nt
Organism: Chionomys nivalis (European snow vole)
Lineage: Eukaryota; Metazoa; Chordata; Mammalia; Rodentia; Cricetidae
Exons: 3
Source: RefSeq, a predicted model, not a curated record
UGGGGCACCCCCUCAUCCUGUAAGAAAAGCAGCUUACUUUCUAAAGCAGGCUCUCACUAGGAUCUCAAACCGGAAGCUGUUGUGACAUAGCUGUCUAUUAAGCUGAGUGGCUUCGUGGCUCAUGGCUCUGCUUCACGGCGAGGUGGCAUCCUAGCUGGAAGGCUACUGAACUGGAAACACUAUCUUCCAUUUUCUCCUGGGAAGAUGGCGUGUACCCCCUUUUCACUGCAAUUCUAACACUCCGUUACAAAGCUCUCACCUACCUUGAAGUCCAGCUAUCCCAAGACCGCCUGUCUGGAGAGACACGCCUUCCGCCUCCUGCCCAUCCCUGCUAAGGGACAGGCAUCUGAUCGAAGC